AGAAGCCACGAAAACCACAUCGGCUCUCUGAAUAAGUACGCAUCGAAUCGCCCAGCCCACCAUACAGAGCCCACACUGCAGAGCCCCCUCUUGUUCGCGUCCGAACCAGAUUCCCCGUCCCCUCUAGGGUUACGCCCACUCUCCCCCGCCGCUCCGGCGAUGUCGUCGGAGCCUCUACCCGCGGAGUCACCCGAGGCGCCCGCUUCCGCCUCUGGCUCCCCUUCGAAGGACGCCGUCGGCACUGAGGUCGGCGCCGCUGCGGGGUCCCCGGAAACGAACACGCUCUGGGUGGGCAACCUGCCCUCGCACGUGACCGAGGGCGAUUUGUUGGCGCUGUUUGGGCCGCACGGCGCGCUCGAUUGCGCCCUUGCACGAGCCGGAUCUCGCAGCUACGCGUUCGUCCUCUUCCGUUCCCCAGCCGAGGCUCGCGAAGCCGUCGAGGCCACCCGGGGUGAAAAGGUCAAGGGGGCCGCCAUGCGCACCGAGUUCGCGCGGCCGGCUAGAGCUGUUAGAAAUCUGUGGGUUGGUGGCAUUAGCCCAUCGAUUUCAAAGGAGGAGCUUGAGGGGGAGUUUCUGAAGUUCGGAAAAGUUGAAGGUGUUGCAUUCUCCCAAGAUCAGACUUCAGCAUACAUAGAUUUUGAGAAGCUUGAAGACGCAAUUUCUGCUCACAGAUCCUUGAAUGGAAAAAUGCUAGGUGGCAAGGAAUUGUGUGUUGAUUUCCAGAGGUCCAAGGGAAGAGCGGAAUGGUCAGAAGCUAGCAGCUUCAAUGGUAGAGUACCAGGGCCAGUGGGUGAUAAGAGAGGCAGUGGCCCUCUGAAGAGUUCUGCUGGAGUGCGGAUGCGAGAGGCACAGCCUACCAAUGUUCUCUGGGUUGGUUUUCCAGGUUCUUAUAGAGUCAUUGAUGAGGAGGCACUUAAGCAUGCCAUGUCAGUAUUCGGUGUCGUUACGAAGAUAAAAGUUUUCCAGACAAGGCAGUAUGCUUUUGUUGAGUUUGCAAAUGUUGCGGAAGCUUGUAAUGCUAAGAUGAAUCUAGAUGGUCAUCUUUUCAAUGAUCCCAGGAUUCAGAUUCUUUUCUCAAACAGUGGGCUUGCACCAAACAAAUUGGACAACCCAACAUCGGUUGCUGGAUUUCCUAGUUCAGAAAUCUAUUCCAGUGAUGGUCGUCUAGGCCCUGGUAUUGGCAGUGGAACUUUGCAAGGGUAUGAUCCACCAAGAGGAGGAAGAACAAGAUAUUACGAUUAUGCGGGUAUGCCUACUCCAGGUGGUAUCCUUUCACAACCUGAACCAUUUGAUCCAAGAGAAGCAAAAAGAAUGAGGCUUGCUGCUGGUGCUGACCCUUACGAUGUAAGGGCAGGCAGCACAGGUCUUUAUUCUGCUGGAUACCGUCAUCAGGGCAGUUCUGUGCACGCUGAGGGAAGCUCAAGUCCUGUUAUUCGAGUCCGGGGCACAGUGCAUCGUACAUCAUACAUUGAGCACUGUUGGCGUGGCAGUAUUGCCAAAGGUGGAUCCCCUGUUUGUCGUGCUCGUUGUUUGCCUAUAACAAAGGGCAGUGACAUACCUUUACCGGAUGUUAUGAAUUGCUCAGCUCGGACUGGAUUGGAUAUGCUGGCGAAGCACUACGCAGAUGCCACUGGAUUUGACAUUGUCUUUUUCUUGCCAGAUAGUGAAGAUGACUUUGUUUCUUAUACUGAGUUCUUGCGUUACCUGGGCUCAAAAAGUCGGGCAGGGGUUGUAAAAGUUGAUGCAGGGACUACAUUAUUUUUGGUUCCACCAUCAGAUUUCCUAACAAAUGUGUUACAAGUUGAUGGUCCAGAGCGCCUUUAUGGUGUGGUAUUACACAUUCCACAAAUCUCUGCUGCUGCUGCACUGAGGCCACAGUUAACUGGGACCGAACAACAACCUUACUAUGAUGAAAGGGGAACUCUGCCUACUUCACAAAGAAAGUAUAGUAUCAUUUCUCCUAAUGACAGUGGCCACCUUGAUGCUGAUUAUCGGACAUCUUUGCAUGAGGAUUCAAUGCAUCGGUUGGGGCAUAUUCCUGGAAGGCCUCGGGUGGAUGAAGGACAAGCAGUUCAACCAGCUCUUGCAGGUUUUCCUGCUAAUCAAGCAGCUGGGCUGCAAGUACAAUCUUCACUCAAGCCUGACAUUAUGGCUACAUUAGCAAAACUUCUGCCUAGUGUGCAAUCGUCACCGCUGGUAAGUGGUCAGAUGAAUGCCAUAGACAGAACAUCGCAGAUACAGGAUCCAUCCAUGCUUUCAAAAGUAUGGAAUCCUGAAAACCAAGUUACUGCUUCAAAUUCAUCCUUUGGGCAAAUGGCUAAUGUUCAGCAUCCAGGACAGCAGUUUAGUGGCCAAGCUUCAGCUGCUCAUUUGACAAACUAUGGGAACAUGGUGAGUGCUCAGGAGCGCUCAAUACAACAUACUGCUUACAACCCUGAAGUUACUUUGAACUUGCCACCACCACCUCCACUUCCAACAAUACCACACAGUUCUGCUACAUUACAGUCUCAAGGUGGCCACAGUUUGCCCUCACAGACAAACCAGCAACUGUAUCAGCCAGAGCAGUAUUAUGUGCCCCAAAACAACUAUGGUCCAUUAGUUCCAGUUAGCCAUUCUAACCUUCAAAUCAGCAACACUAACAACCCCACCCUUACCAUCCCACAAGUGAACCCUGGACCUCCAACAAAUAAUCAGAUUGGGAAUUUGGCCCAGCCACAGCAUUCUAUGCCACUGCAUGUUGAUAGAGCAAGUCAGGAUUUCUCUUCUCAGGGGCAACAACAAAAUCGUGGUCCUGGUGCUGCACAAGCUCCCGAGGAGGAUAAAAGCAAGAAGUACCAGGCGACACUCCAGUUAGCUCAAAACCUACUGCUUCAGUUACAGCAGCGUGGAUCUGGAAAUCAAUCCUGAGACCUAAUUAUUGCUUCAGGUAAGUGCACCUCGUCAUUUAAUAUUUUCUGUUUGCUACAUUUUAUCUGCUUGCGCAAUCUUCAUCUAAUUAUUUUCAACCUAAUCCUAGCGUAGCUUGCAUUUCAAAAUGUAAUUUAAUGAAAUGAGUUGUUUUAAACAAUGCUAGCAACAGAGGGCUACUGCAAAUGACCAAUGUUUGCCAUCUCAAGAUUGUGCUAGGUUGGCUUAGAAUUUGCACGCCACACACAAUUAACACUGAAACACUAGAGAAACGUUUAAUCUUAGAGAUUCAUCUCCUAGCAAGUAAGGCCAGGUUGAACACUUGAUCUUAGUUUUAUUUUGCGUGCAUAAUACAUCUCUUGCCAGUUUGCUUGCAUUGAUAUGUUGUUAUCUGUGUAUUCUAGCUUGACUGUCUUGCUAGAUCUGAUCUGCACAGUUCCUUGAUAGUCUAGUGAGAGUUUCAGCAUUAGAGUAAAACAGUAGAUAAAGUCGUUGCUAAAACACCACGUUGCUUACAUGAGGCAAUAUUAGAUCUUUAAUUGAUUAAUGUAUGGACAUCUUUAAUGUAAUGGUUUUAUGAUAUCUAUACUUGAGAAGCAGUGGGGAUACCUUGAAACAAAAAGCUUCUCUUUCACCAGCUUUAACGCAGUUCUUGGUUCUCGUGGUAAAGUGUGAGUACCCAUUUCUCACAAUACGAUGAGAAACCAUGCUUCAGUAUGGUGAUUCGUCUACCUCUGCGAACCCUGCUGCCUUCUGCGUGACUCGGUUACCCCCCUGCCGCUUUCUUCUAUGUAGUAUCGGACAAUCUUUCGUAGACAAUAAUGCAGUCAACGCCUUAUCCAAAGCACCAUGACCCCGUAGUAUAUUCAUCCUUGGCAUGCAACCAACCUCGUUUCGGUCGAACAAAAAAAAAUUUGGCAUGCCUUAGAUUCAAUUAUAUCGACUUCGUCUCAUAGACCAAACGACGAAACGACAAACGGUGAACAUCGUGAUUAAACAUACCUUUUUGCUUGGUACAUACAUGCAAACUGGCAUUUGAUGGCAGCCGGCAGCGUCAGCUGCAAUCACUUGCCUGCCUCUGUUUUCACGUAGCUAGUUCAUUUGAGCAUCGAUGGCAUGUAGGAGGACGAGUGCAUUAAACGGGGUAUAAUGGGUGCGUCUGGGGACAUCACUGGUCUAAAUCGUUGGAUCCAAAUGAGCUUGUCAAUACAAACAUAUUAAUCGUUGGCCUAAAUCGUAUUAGUUUCAGCGUCGCGUCGAUGUUGUUUGCGACUUGUGCCUGUAGCGUUUGACGCUUUCGGGUCGACGCCACCGCGAAUGCUUUAUUCGCUAGCUUCACUGGUCCCCCUAUAUGUUUGUUAAUUAAAUCGCGCUGGCAAUAUGGAACAGGGUGAACUUACUACGCACCAGUGAUAGAAAAUCUUCGAAGAUAUCGCCUGCGUAUAAACAAUGCGGCAGGAGUCGCUCCGGGUGAUUCGAGGGUUCACGGCUAUCAACAGUACUCAACAACGUUUCUUUUACGUCAGGAGUACGAGGGAAUACUCUCUCUCAACACAUUCUUGCACGUUCUACAAGCGGGCGGUCACUGGCAUGUCUCGCUUACGGGAAAAACAAUCUUUUCAUCCCGGAUGCAAAUAAUCUCUUUUACAGCCUCUCAUAUCCACCAGGAGAAAAACAAAUUACUAAAAAAUUAAGAGGUAAAUUUUAAUCUGUUUUAGUGGGUCUCUAAGUGGUGGAUUAGUGGAUGUGAGGGGCUGUAAAAGAGGGUGUUUAUAUCCAAGAUGUACAGAAUUUUUUUCUCGCUUAGAACUUGUUCGGUUAUUUUUAUCUUAUAUGGAUUGAAUAGGAUUAAAAAAAAUAUAAAAGAUUUUAAAUUUAUUAAGAAUUAAAACUCACUCAAUUCCAAUCCAUAUAGACUGAGAAAAAAAAAACAAGCCGACUCGAACAUCUCCGCUCACAUGUGGAGACACGAACACAUUUACUGUUUGGUCGAUGGCCAAUGAUCCCAUGACACGUCGUUUUAUUCAACGCACUUGGUCGAUAUACACGCUUGGUCGGCGUCUGGGUGGUCGAGGACGACGACAAGUUGACACCGCACCCGGUCGGGCUUGUGUCCAUUGUUAUCUCGCUUUCUUUUAUUUGCUUUAUGUUUAUUAGUUAUUAAAGCAGUAUUAGUAUAUAGAGUGUGAAAGUACAGAGGGCACAGUUAAGAUGGUAGGUUCGUUUUCUUUUAAUAUCUUGGUUAAAAGUGGAGGAAGUAUCUAUUCUCUAUAAAUCGCUUUCGUUCUCUCUCCUUAUCGCUUAAUUUCUCUCUCUCUCCGAGGUGUUAGUGGCCCUUUUCGGACCAAAGUGAAGCUGGGCUGAAUAUUGGGGCGCUUGACACAUACGGUACCCUCGUCUCGUCUCAGCUGGUCGCAAACAACUGAAAAUAUAUAUCCCAACUCGACGGCUUCGCCUCCACUCUACAAUCGAAGCGGCCCAUGGUGUGUCAGCUCGUUGGCCUACACCUACUUGCCCCAGUUCUCCCUUUUCAAGGACAUACAUUACCAGAAAACGAUUUCUUUUUCUCCUUUUUAUUUUAUCGUGUAUUUGAUAUGGAUAAUCCGGCCUGAAUUUUGUACUCGUUUGUUAGUAUGGCCUCGUGUUAUGUUGUUAUUUACUCUGAAACCAUAUGUUAUUGUGUACGGUGCCGUGGUUCCAACACAAGGGAAGCUUGUUCAGAGACCCGUUUCA
RNA transcript from Zea mays, 5640 nucleotides. It is a transcript of the gene named flowering time control protein FPA, with no coding region annotated. The transcript has 6 exons. The record is from RefSeq and is a predicted model, not a curated record. Lineage: Eukaryota; Viridiplantae; Streptophyta; Magnoliopsida; Poales; Poaceae.